CUGAAAUAAUGUCUAAUUUGGUCGUCUGCGUAAAAAGAACGUAAACAUUCCGUAGGAAAAACGUCAGUAAACAUUUUUGUAUAUAAGAAGAUAAUUCGUUCACUAGGUUAGAAGUGCGGAUUAUUUCGAUGGUGAAAGUCGGAACUUACUAGUCUGGCGAACAGUAUGAGGAAAAAGACAAGGGAUAGUGACAUAAAAAGCAAGCCACACGAGAAAAUACCAAUGUCAGGGAAAAUCCGGGUCAGUUCUGCAUAAAGAAUGAGAAAGAGUUUGACCUAAAUCAUAACUGAAUACCCUAUGUAUAUUUCUAUGUCUUGAUCUGGUUUUGAAAACUCAAAGAAUGCGUUAUGAACAAGCGAAUAGCAACCGUUAUGAAAACUCGUUUGGAUAGUUUCCAAUUCUGCACUUUUUGUGCAAAACGUUUGCCAACCGUAUUUUUAACGUUGUUAAAACGUUGUCAGAGCUAUAAGUGGAAACGCUUUACAAACCCCAGUUCCAUUCAGUUUAGCAGACGAUGUCCACACGUUUGGGUGACGUUUUCUUCUUUGCCGUCAUGUGACUGAAAUAAAGCUCUUAGGAGUACAAAGAAGUAACAGACAGUCUGAAGAUGGAGUUUCCUGAUUCAGUUUAUGGAAUGCAUGGCAAUGAGUACUGCUUUGUUUCGUUUUGAGCUUACUGAUAGAUGAUAGAUUAUAUAUGCAUCUACUGAUCUUUUAAGAGACGAGGGUAACAUAAUAGUAACAUACAUUGAAAGCAAAAUUUUAAAAAAGUUACAAUUUGGCAUCCAGCAUGAUAAUUGAGAGGUGUCUGAAUGAAGGACAGGUAAUUUAUAUAAAAAAAAGUGCUCCUCGACGUGAGGUUCGAGUGAAUACUGCUACGAAGAAAUAGUCUUAAGUUACUAUUUGCAUACUUUCCAAAAUGUGUAAUCGUUUUAACUUUACAGUUUAAAACACUUAUAAAAGAAGUUGAUGCACCGCUACUGUGGGUUUACGCCGGAUUGCAUCACAAAAGCUUGUUAUCCGGAGACAUUUUACGAUUUUGAAUGACAAAAGUGGUGUACUUCUCAAAGGAUAAAAUUGUUGAAGCGGUCCUGAAUUGAAAAUAAAACUCACAACGAAUGAAUAUCUCCUAGGACAUCAUAGUUUAAUCAGUUCUAAAAUGGCCGCCGUCAUAACGAAAGGGGCACUAUGGCAUUUAUGAUGUAACGGUAAUAGUAGUUUUGAAGAAUGUAUCAUUGGAGACGGUUCUAAAAUGACCGCCGUCAUAAGUAAAGGGACGCUAGGGAAUUUAUGACGUAACGAUAAUAGAAGUUUUGAAGAAAGUAUCUUCGGAGAUAUAAUAGUUUAAAAGGUUCUAAAAUGACCGCCGUCAUAAGAAAAGGGGUACUCAGGAAUUUAUGACGUAACGAUAAAAGGACUAGGACCUUGCUGUAUAGGAAAAGGAGAUUUUCGUUCACUGGUCUUCGGUCCGGAUUUCUUUUCCCGUCUAGAUUAGGGAUGCUGAUAUGCUGGCUGUUUAUAAAGCAUUUCCUUUAUACAGCAUUUCGCAAGAAAACCGAUUCGUCUGGUCAUGUGCAAUUUAUGUCGAAAUAGCAGCUUUUAUGCUUUCGUUUGUGAUUUAAUUUGUAAUCGUUUGUAGGUUUGUAAUGUACGCUGUAAAGCAAUAUUGAACGUCUAAAAGCAAUAUUGAACGUGUAUGUAACUAUGUAUUCAUGAAUGUGAGUGCUAUAUAAAUGUGGUAUGAUAAUAAAAUGAUAAAGAUCGUCAGAGCAGCGGACUUGCCAAUUCUCUUUCAACAGUCUGGAAAAUCUAAACGUAAUAAAGCAUGGUGCAAGGAGUCAUGAAGUCAAAAGCAUUACGGAUCGGGAUUGAUUUUUGAUUUGACCAUAUUUUAUUGCUUAUAUAUACAUGCAAAUAGAUAAAUAAAACUACAGCAAUACAAAAGCAAAUGGGUUGAGCAACAAGUUCUAUCAACAUUACUUUAAGCCCUUCCCAGAAGGAUCGUGAUUCUAUACUCUGAAAUACCGAAAAUAUCCGGAAACAUGAUGAAAUGAUGGUAAAUGUCGUGGACACUGUUCAGAAGAAAACAAUAUCUUAAGGACCAGAUAGUUGAAUAAUGUCUGAACGAUGGAAAAUGGCUGAAGACAGUAUAUGUCGAAUGACGUAAUUGUUGGAUAUUCUCUGAGUAAUGGUGUAGUCCGAGUAAAACAGUUAAAAAGGUGUUCAUGAUGAUAAAGUCGUAUUUACAGUAUCUCCCGAGAGACUGAAUGCUGACAAUGUUCUGAAUAAUGGGAAAAGUUUUGAAUGCAGUUCCUCGUCGGAAUAUAAUAUUUAACAGGGUGUUUUAUUAUAACAGUCGAUCUUGAAGAACGUGAUAGUUUACAAGGAAACGCGUUUGAAUGAUCGAUAAAGUCGUUAUUAUUGUACGGGAAGUAGUUAUAACUAUCAUAUACAAAGGAUUGUUUCGGGGUUGGCACAGUUGUGGUUGAAAAGUGUGGAUAACCGAAAAGGCAUAAAACAGUUGAAACGUCUGAAAAUGUCUAAUAGACAAUACUGAUGUAGUUGAGAAUUUCAGACGGUUCUAAAUGGCGUAUAAUCUGAAAGACAGUACUCCUUAGGGAAUGUAGCUGGAAAGGUCUGAUAGGAUACCAGCAGUCGUGAUGUUAAUAUCUCUGAAAAGACAUGUGUACAUGUGUUCUGUUCGGUGGCGCUUUCAUACUGACGCACUUAAGUAGUGACCUAACUCUCUAUGUAUAGAACGCUGAAAAGACAGAAGUCGGCCGAUGGUCUAGUGGUAACACGAUUGACUGCCAAUCCAGAGGUCCGGGGUUCAAAUCCCGAUCCAGACACUGGAAAUUUCUGAGAUACUCUUGAUGUCUCCCACUUAACUAAGAGGCCUGUACUGGUUCUUCCCAGGAAAGAUGGCUUCGCAUGUAUCGGUGCUGUACACCGGGUACGUUAAAGAACCAGACUGUCUAUUCGCAAAGAGCAAGGCUAAGUUAGCCGGACAGGCCUGUAUCUAAAAACAUUUCUCUCUGUCUGUUCUGGGGGCUUUAUCUCACUCUGUCCCUCAGGUCAGAUUGUUCUGUGUCUGUACUAGUAGAGGAUGAAUCUCGCGCCCUGUGUGGCUGCGUUUGCUAUAUGUAAAGCGCCUUUGAACGGGUUAUCAUGAAAAGAGCGCUAUAUAAAUCUUGUAUAAUAAUAAUAAUAAUAAUAAGUUUUUGGUGGACCUGUCACUUAAAAUGGUUCUGAAUAAUGGUAAAUGCGGCUGUGCUUUAUAAACAAAAAUCCAGAAGAUAAUACAGGACGAAUUCCAAUCGAGUAUAUCGUAAUUGAGUUCUGUAACUAUUCAGACGAAGCUGUGAAACUAGUUAAAUUUGGACAUUGAUCUCAAAUUUAAUGAAAGUGAAGUCCUUCCUUAGUAACAAAAAUACUCUGGUCAAAUUUCCAAAUUAAACAAGCAAAUUCAGUGAAUUUAUAUCCCCGCCGAAUAAGUUACUUGGUGGACCUGAUGAGGAGAAUAUAUAGGGAAGAUAUCUCCAGAUAUUCACCAGUUAUGUACAUGAGUAGUAUUAGCGUCUCAUUAGCCCCAGCUGUGCGCAUGCUCGAGAAUGCAGCUGGAAUUUUGAAUUCCAGUUUUAGAAUGACAUCACCUUUCUAUGUUAAGAAUGACUUCACAAUGUAAUAAAUAUAAACCAAAAUUGGUAAACUUUA
Molecule: long non-coding RNA, 3713 nt
Organism: Mercenaria mercenaria
Lineage: Eukaryota; Metazoa; Mollusca; Bivalvia; Venerida; Veneridae
Exons: 3
Source: RefSeq, a predicted model, not a curated record